AUGCUGUGUUUGGCCUGCUAUCUUGGAGUCAAUGUUCAUCUAGAUGCAAGAGUUCAUUGUCCUGCUGCAGUUUUGUACUAUUACCUAAAUCAUGGAUCUGGUUCAGGCUUUCUUCGUACUGGGAUAUUCCUUGAUUACAUGGCAGCAGUAUCAGCAGUCAGUGCUGUAGGAUGGUUUGUUUCACCUAUUAUUAGAAGGAUGGUUUCUUUGGUGCAGUCCUAUAUGUCAAACCAGUACAACUGGAAAUCUGAGAUGGUAUCUGAUCUCAGGAAUUUGGAAACCACUUUAAUGGAUAUACUCAUCGUAAUUAGUGCGGCUGAAAGGCAACACGUAGUGGACACAAAUCAGAUACUGUUAUUGCAGCAAAUGAAAGAUGCAGUUUCUGAUGCAGAAGAUGUCUUGGAUGAGUUUGAUUAUAUGCUUUUAAAACAAAAGGGUAAGCAGAAAGGCCUUGUCAGACGCAUGGCCUCCUCUUCCCUCUCUAUUGGUAAGCGUUUGGUCAAUAUUGACAAUUUCAGGUCAGAAUUGCGGAAGGUCCUCAAAAGCUUGGAGAGAGUUAGAACUUCUGCAGACAUGUUUGUCCGAGUGAUGACAUUGGAGAGCUAUAACCCCAGUCAAUCCCUUCAAUUUUCCCAAGCAAGGAUCACAGGAUCUCUUUUGCAUGAAGAUGCAAUUUUUGGGCGAGAAAAUGAGAUUGCUCAGCUAGUGGAUCGGCUGGUGAAUCAAUUUGAUGAAUGUGCACUGAACGGUGAACAUAACUUCAGGACGGAGGUUCACACUAUUAUUGGUGUUGGAGGCAUUGGCAAGACUACUCUAGCUCAACUUAUUUAUAACAAUGAGCAAAUAGCUGAUACUUUUGACCUAAGAAUGUGGGUUUGUGCUUCCAAUAAUUUUGACAAAACUAGACUUAUCAAAGAGAUGAUAGCAUUCACAACUGAUGGUGAAAAUGCUGAACUGGCCAACUUUAGUUUCAGCAUGCUCCAGGAAGAACUUGAACGAAGACUUUCGUGCAAGAGAUUUCUCUUAGUGUUGGAUGAUGUGUGGUAUGAUGAGAAAUACGGAGUACACAUCAAUAAGGAGAUGUGGAUGGAAUUAUUAGCUCCCGCCAAAAAGUCAGCAAAUAUCUAUUCUAAGAGUCUAGGGCGAAGCAUAUCAGGAAGCAAGAUUCUAGUGACAACCCGAACAGAAUUGGUUGCAAAAAUGCUAGACUCUAGAAGCUCGUUCAUUUUACAAGGUCUUGGAAGAGAUGAUAGUUGGUUAUUGCUCAGACGAUGUGCAUUUGGCAGCAAGAAGCCAGAAGAUUAUCCGGAGUUGAAUGGAAUUAGAGAUCAAAUUGUUCAGAAACUUAAGGGCUCGCCUCUAGCAUUGAAGGUUAUCGGAGGGUAUUUAAAUGGCGAGGGCAGAGAACUAUUGUGGGAGGAUGUUCUUCACAUUAAUGUACUCAAUCCAAACGAUAUUUUGACCAUCUUACAUUUAAGUUAUGAAAGUUUGCCAGAACACCUCCAACAGUGCUUUGCAUAUUGUAGUUUAUUCCCAAAGGAUUAUCGUAUUGAUCCAAAUAGAUUGAUCUGGAUGUGGAUAGCUCAGGGCCUUGUUCAUCUAGAUGGAAACACCAGUAGGAGCUUGGCAGAUAUUGGAAGGGGCUAUUUCAGUGAUUUGCUAGCUCGGUCUUUUUUCCAAGUGCUCCGCUAUGGGGGUCAAACAUAUUACACUAUGCAUGAUUUAAUGAAUGACCUCGCACUUCACGUUUCCCAUGGGGAAUGCUUUAGGGUUGACCGUGGCAGCAUUGGGGUGUUACCUCAUUAUAUUAGGCAUUUGUCCGUGUCUGCUGAACAACUGGGAGAUCUUGUGAACUAUGAUGGUCUUGGAAGACUGCGCACAUUUAUAGUUCUGAAUGAAUCUUGGUUCUGCUCCAAAGUCUGCCUGAGUCAAGAUAUACUCAAUAAACUCAAGAGUGUGCGGGUGCUGGAUGCAAGUGGGUGCUGCUUUGAAAGUUUGCCUGAAGCCAUCAAUGAUCUGAUACACCUGCGUUAUCUAGCCAUCCGACGCACUUAUUACCCACUUCCUGCAACAAUCUCCAGACUCAAUCAUCUACAGGUCUUGUCCGUGCAGUAUCAUUCAUGUGAUUCCUCCAGGAUAUCAUGCUCAAACAAGAGAAAACAACUGAAAUAUUCAAGGGGAGAAGUGAACACUACUGGAGGUCGUUUCAGUCUUCCUGAAAGCAUUAGCAGGCUUAUUACCUUGGUGCAUGUUGAUGUAGAGAAGGCUUACACUGUCAUGUUAUCGGGUAUGUAUCAGCUUCCAUCUGUCGAGGGUUCGGGAGAAUUCCUUGUUAAUAAGGAGGAGCAAAGUUUGGUCCAACUUCAGGAUUUCAACAAGAUCCAGGGAGAGAUUGCUGUUAGGUUACUGGAGAACGUAAAAAGUAGAGAGGAGGCUGCUAAGUCUCAUCUAGACUUGAAGGAACACAUAUCCAAGUUGGAGCUGGAAUGGGGACCGUGUGAUGGUGCUCAUGAUAAGGAUGUGGGUUUUCAGGUACUUGAUGUAUUAAAACCACACCAAAAUCUUGAACAACUGACAAUCAGUGGAUACCCAGGUGUCUGCUCUCCUUCUUGGCUGGAGUCUGGUUGGCUGAGAAGAUUGAAAUUGAUCUGUCUACGAGAUUGUAAAAGAUUGGAGGUACUUCCACCUUUAGGGGAUCUCCCCUUACUCAGAACUCUUGAAGUACGGAGAAUGGAAGAACUAAAAGCACUCGGCCAGGAGUUCUUUGGCCAGGCUGGAUUUCCUUCUUUGGAGAUAUUGCUACUAGAGCGCUUACCUAAACUGGAGUGGUGUCUUGUGGACAAUGAUCAAGUGUUACAGAAUCUCAAACAUCUAUCUGUUUCGAGCUGUCCACGGUUAAGAGCAUAUCCCACCCAUCCUCGUACACUCAAACAUAUAGCUGUACUUGACAAAGAAGAUAUCCAAGCUAAGGUUCACACUUAUAGCUGUGAACUAUCAAGAUCAUUUUGUCGCCUGUUAUCGAGCUACUUCCAUGUUUUUCAUGCUCAUCACCUAGAAUCUGUAGAAAAUAUGGAUAUUUAUGUCAACCAUUUAGCACACAUGCCCAGGACAUUGUUUAACAAUCUGAAAUCACUCAAAAUGUUGUAUAUAUACGGUAUCGAUCGGGCCAACACAUACUCAGUAAUUACUACAUUCUGGGAUGAGAAUGGGAGCACCGUACUUCCUUCCUCACUUAUAUGCCUUAAAUUAGGACGGUGCUACCUGCAACCAUCCUCUUUCGCAAAGCUGUUGAAGAACCUCCCGUCGCUUGGUACACUAUGCUUAAGUGAAUGUAACACUGUUGAGAUACCUGGUCCACCGUUAAGGCUGAACCAUUUGAGGAUGCUGAAACGGUUGGACAUUUAUAAAUGUGAUUGGAUUUCAUCUUUUACGGGAUCAGAAGCACUGCUGUCCCUUGAAGAUAUGAAGAUAGAUCAUUGUUAUGACCUGGAAUCCGUACCAGACUUAGAUGACAUGCCAUCUCUUCAGAAACUACAUUUGUAUCAUUGCCCUCAAGUUAUGCGACUGUCCAAAACAGGCCACCAAACUUCACUGACUGGACUGGUUGUAAGAUCGUGCAAUUCGCUAUUAUCUCUGCAGAAGUUGUGUGACCUUGUUUCCCUUGUGAAGCUGACGAUUAUAAGUUGUUCUGAUUUAUUGUGGCUUCCUGAUAUGGAUGGCUUUUAUUCGCUUCGGGCUCUCUCGAUUUCUGGGUGCCCCCGGCUGAUGUCACUGCCACGGAGGGGUCUUCCUGUAUCACUUGAAACGUUUGUCCUGUCUCGAUGCCAUCAAGCACUGGAGGAGCAGUUUCAGCGGAAGGAAGGUCCAGAUUGGAACAAGUUUGCCGCCCUUCCAGGAUGCAGGGAGGCCCGUACAUGGUUAUGGUAA
RNAcentral lists this ribosomal RNA (3927 nucleotides) under Triticum aestivum (bread wheat). RNAcentral describes it as "partial small subunit ribosomal RNA". The record is from RNAcentral. Lineage: Eukaryota; Viridiplantae; Streptophyta; Magnoliopsida; Poales; Poaceae.